UAAAGCGGCGGACGGGUGAGUAAUGCUAGGAAUCUGCCUGGUAGUGGGGGAUAACGUUCGGAAACGGGCGCUAAUACCGCAUACGUCCUACGGGAGAAAGCAGGGGACCUUCGGGCCUUGCGCUAUCAGAUGAGCCUAGGUCGGAUUAGCUAGUUGGUGGGGUAAUGGCUCACCAAGGCGACGAUCCGUAACUGGUCUGAGAGGAUGAUCAGUCACACUGGAACUGAGACCGGUCCAUAUCCUACGGGAGGCAGCAGUGGGGAAUAUUGGACAAUGGG
This 278-nucleotide ribosomal RNA is filed under the name uncultured Pseudomonadaceae bacterium. RNAcentral describes it as "partial 16S ribosomal RNA". It matches the Rfam family "Bacterial small subunit ribosomal RNA", at positions 91 to 375 of the family's 1533-position model. The record is from RNAcentral. Lineage: Bacteria; Pseudomonadati; Pseudomonadota; Gammaproteobacteria; Pseudomonadales; Pseudomonadaceae.